AUUGAACGCUGGCGGCAUGCCUAACACAUGCAAGUCGAGCGGAUGAAGGGAGCUUUCUCCUGGAUUCAGCUGCGGACGGGUGAGUAAUGCCUAGGAAUCUGCCUUGUAUUUGGGGAUAACGUCCGUAAACGGGCGCUAAUACCGCAUACGUCCUGAGGUAGAAAGUGGGGGAUCUUCGGACCUCACGCUAUCUGAUGAGCCUAGGUCGGAUUAGCUAGUUGGUGGGGUAAAGGCCUACGAAGGCGACGAUCCGUAACUGGUCUGAGAGGAUGAUCAGUCACACUGGAACUGAGACACGGUCCAGACUCCUACGGGAGGCAGCAGUGGGGAAUCUUGGACAAUGGGCGAAAGCCUGAUCCAGCCAUGCCGCGUGUGUGAAGAAGGUCUUCGGAUUGUAAAGCACUUUAAGUUGGGAGGAAGGGCAGUAAGUUAAUACCUUGCUGUUUUGACGUUACCAACAGAAUAAGCACCGGCUAACUUCGUG
This 484-nucleotide ribosomal RNA is filed under the name uncultured bacterium. RNAcentral's name for it is "partial 16S ribosomal RNA". It matches the Rfam family "Bacterial small subunit ribosomal RNA", at positions 30 to 507 of the family's 1533-position model. The record is from RNAcentral.